AGUUGGGUGGACGACGAAUAAUGUGUGUUGUUAGCGUGCCUCAGCUCGUCCACUACGCAGCGACAUCUAUGAUGGGAGUAAUGUCGUCGACGCAGCACCGGCAACUUGGAGAGCGUCGUACCAUUGAAAAGUGGUGAGACCGUGACCCUAUAGCAGUGUCCACAUAAUGGCAGGGAAAUGCAGGGAUCCCGCAGCCAUGGCUACAGCAGCACGGCGUGUAAUCUGGAUGUCAUGUCAGGGUACACGUGCACUCACUUCAAGACGACGACCCUCCACCUCAAAAACAGUCUCUCUUCAAAGACUAGCAGGUAGAUUAAAUGAAAGGAAAAUACCACAUCCAUAACCAGACAGAUACUAUGUUUU
Dermacentor silvarum is the source of this 363-nucleotide long non-coding RNA. RefSeq lists it as uncharacterized. The record is from RefSeq and is a predicted model, not a curated record. The transcript has 3 exons. Lineage: Eukaryota; Metazoa; Arthropoda; Arachnida; Ixodida; Ixodidae.